UUAGCAGGGGAUAACAUUUGGAAACAGAUGCUAAUACCGUAUAACAAUGACAACCGCAUGGUUGUUAUUUAAAAGAUGGUUCUGCUAUCACUAAGAGAUGGUCCCGCGGUGCAUUAGCUAGUUGGUAAGGUAAUGGCUUACCAAGGCGAUGAUGCAUAGCCGAGUUGAGAGACUGAUCGGCCACAAUGGGACUGAGACACGGCCCAUACUCCUACGGGAGGCAGCAGUAGGGAAUCUUCCACAAUGGGCGAAAGCCUGAUGGAGCAACGCCGCGUGUGUGAUGAAGGGUUUCGGCUCGUAAAACACUGUUGUAAGAGAAGAAUGACAUUGAGAGUAACUGUUCAAUGUGUGACGGUAUCUUACCAGAAAGGAACGGCUAAAUACGUG
RNAcentral lists this ribosomal RNA (387 nucleotides) under uncultured bacterium. Its description in RNAcentral is "bacterial SSU rRNA". It matches the Rfam family "Bacterial small subunit ribosomal RNA", at positions 133 to 507 of the family's 1533-position model. The record is from RNAcentral.